CGGGGAUUAGCUCAGAUGGCUAGAGCGCUUGGUUUGGGACCAAGAGGCCGCGAGUUCGAGUCCCGCAUCCCCGACCA
Molecule: transfer RNA, 77 nt
Filed under: bacterium
Lineage: Bacteria
Also listed under: 1 other name
Description: tRNA-Pro
Rfam family: tRNA
About the family: Transfer RNA (tRNA) molecules are approximately 80 nucleotides in length. Their secondary structure includes four short double-helical elements and three loops (D, anti-codon, and T loops).
Source: RNAcentral